RNAcentral lists this ribosomal RNA (468 nucleotides) under uncultured bacterium. Its description in RNAcentral is "partial 16S ribosomal RNA". It matches the Rfam family "Bacterial small subunit ribosomal RNA", at positions 28 to 507 of the family's 1533-position model. The record is from RNAcentral.
GACGAACGCUGGCGGCGUGCUUAACACAUGCAAGUCGAACGGAAAGGCCCUGCUUUUGUGGGGUGCUCGUGUGGCGAACGGGUGAGUAACACGGGAGUGACCUGCCCUUGACUUUGUGAUAACGUCAGGAACCUGGGGCUAAUACCGGCGAGGAGCGCCUGCUGCAUGGUGGGGGUUGGAAAUUUUCGGCGGUUGGGGAUGGAUUCGCGGCUUAUCAGCUUGUUGGUGGGGUAGUGGCUUACGAAGGCUUUGACGGGUCGCCGGCAUGAGAGGGUGACCGGCCACAUUGGGACUGAGAUACGGCCCAGACUCCUACGGGAGGCAGCAGUGGGGAAUAUUGCACAAUGGGCGGAAGCCUGAUGCAGAAACGCCGCGUGCGGGAUGACGGCCUUCGGGUUGUAAACCGCUUUCGCCUGUGACGAAGCGUGAGUGACGGUAAUGGGUAAAGAAGCACCGGCUAACUACGUG